UACGUAGGGUGCGCGCGUUGUCCGGAAUUAUUGGGCGUAAAGGGCUCGUAGGCGGUUUGUCGCGUCGGGAGUGAAAUCCACUGGCUUAACUGGUGGCUUGCUUUCGAUACGGGCAGACUGGAGGUAUGCAGAGGAGAGCGGAAUUCCUGGUGUAGCGGUGAAAUGCGCAGAUAUCAGGAGGAACACCGGUGGCGAAGGCGGGUUUCUGGGCGGAUACUGACGCUGAGGAGCGAAAGCGUGGGGAGCAAACAGG
Molecule: ribosomal RNA, 253 nt
Filed under: uncultured bacterium
Lineage: Bacteria
Description: partial 16S ribosomal RNA
Rfam family: Bacterial small subunit ribosomal RNA
Source: RNAcentral